AGGAAAAAUUGAAAAAUUCGGAGUCUGCACUCGGAGGGGUUCUAGGUAUAUGUGUAUUGAUUAUUGGUGCACUGCUCCUUUGGAUUUUCAUGUACAUAUACACCUCUAAAACACCAGAACAGAGAUUCCAGUGUGUGAGAAGGGCUAUCAACAGGGGUGAUGAGACUGAUGGUGUAAGCAGGAAUCAUCUGGAGGAUGAAAUCAAUAAUCUUCAGGAGCAAGUGUUACAUCUGCAGCAAGAAAACGAGCGUUUGGAAGAAGAAAAUAGACGUCUGAGAGGAGAAGUUGAUAACGAACCUCAGAGACCAAACUCAGCUGGCAACCGCUGCUGCAUUUCAUGUGGAAAUUAUCCCAAGAAUUAAUCUGAAUAUGAAUCUGAAGAUACAUUGGUUCACUCAAUUAUAAUAUAACACUCAUGUAACAGUCUCAGUCUUAUAUGGUUGCAUUUGAUUCACGUCACCAGCGAAUGUUACAACUCCUUUGUCUUUUUGAGGGUUUUUCAGUGUCUAUUGGUAGGAUGUUUAGCACUGAUGCUUCAAGAGAAAGAACAUCAGAUCUGCAGAGAGUUCACCUUCAUCAAUCUGUUGAAGACAAAAGGAUUUUCAGCUUUUAUUUACAAUGAAUUUGAGUAUUUUUAAAUUAG
This is a long non-coding RNA of Thunnus maccoyii (southern bluefin tuna), 643 nucleotides long. RefSeq lists it as uncharacterized. The transcript has 3 exons. The record is from RefSeq and is a predicted model, not a curated record. Lineage: Eukaryota; Metazoa; Chordata; Actinopteri; Scombriformes; Scombridae.